Molecule: long non-coding RNA, 537 nt
Filed under: Vitis vinifera (wine grape)
Lineage: Eukaryota; Viridiplantae; Streptophyta; Magnoliopsida; Vitales; Vitaceae
Description: long non-coding RNA (VVIN_LNC008011)
Source: RNAcentral
GAUUAUUUCUUUCUUUAUUGUAUAUCGUUGGUGAGAGGGAGUUUUUCCUUACUAUGUUUCUAUUUUGGGGUCCUCCGUUUAUAUAUAUAUAUAUUGUAUUCGUAUCUUGGAGUUGUCUUUGGAGGUUUGGAUAGUCAGAAUUGAUUUAGCACCAUAUUCAAGUAAGUUAUUUCUUCCUCAUCUCUUUAUUUGUAUUAUGAUUUUGUUCUUUUUAGGAUUUCUUAAAUUUAUCUUGUUUUAUAUCUAUUAUAUUUGUGAUCAUUUUGGUAUUUGAAUAUUUUAUCCAUUUCUUUUAUUCAGUUCUCUACCUAUUUAGGUUAUAUGUUCAUUAUACUCUACAUUUUGUAUGUAUAGACAUUUGUCUAAGUUUUUCUGCUCAUUUAUGUAUUUGUCAUUUUUAUUGAUUAUUUUGUUGAUAUUUUUUGGCAUGUGUUAUUAUAAGUAUUGUAUUUUGUUUCAAGUUCUCUAUAUUAAUAUAAUUUUUGUCCUAAAUUUUUUAUAAUUCUGUUUAUGUUAAUCAGUGUUCAUAUUCCUUAC